UACGUAGGGGGCGAGCGUUGUCCGGAAUGAUUGGGCGUAAAGGGCGUGUAGGCGGCUUUAUAAGUCUGGAGUGAAAGUUUGGGGCUCAACCUUAAAAUUGCAGUUGAUACUGGCGUCCUUGAGUGCGGUUGAGGUGUGCGGAAUUCGUGGUGUAGCGGUGAAAUGCUUAGAUAUCACGAAGAACUCCGAUUGCGAAGGCAGCGCACUAAGCCGUAACUGACGUUCAUGCUCGAAAGUGUGGGUAUCAAACAGG
This 253-nucleotide ribosomal RNA is filed under the name Phocaeicola plebeius DSM 17135. RNAcentral's name for it is "partial 16S ribosomal RNA". It matches the Rfam family "Bacterial small subunit ribosomal RNA", at positions 524 to 776 of the family's 1533-position model. The record is from RNAcentral. Lineage: Bacteria; Pseudomonadati; Bacteroidota; Bacteroidia; Bacteroidales; Bacteroidaceae.